CCUACGGGAGGCAGCAGUGGGGAAUAUUGCACAAUGGGGGAAACCCUGAUGCAGCGACGCCGCGUGAGUGAAGAAGUAAUUCGUUACGUAAAGCUCUAUCAGCAGGGAAGAAACACUGACCUUACGGUCAGCAGACGGUACCUGAGUAAGAAGCCCCGGCUAACUACGUGCCAGCAGCCGCGGUAAUACGUAGUGGGCAAGCGUUAUCCGGAUCUACUGGGUGGAAAGGGGGCGUAGACGGUGCGCCAAGUCUGGAGUGAAAUGCCGCAGCUUAACUGCGGAACUGCUUUGGAAACUGGCGAACUAGAGUGCGGGAGGGGUAAGCGGAAAUCCGAGUGUAGCGGUGAAAUGCGUAGAUAUGAGGAGGAACACCGGUGGCGAAGGCGGCUUACUGGACCGUAACUGACGUUGAGGCUCGAAAGCGUGGGGAGCAAACAGGAUUAGAUACCCGAGUAGUC
RNAcentral lists this ribosomal RNA (458 nucleotides) under uncultured bacterium. RNAcentral's name for it is "partial 16S ribosomal RNA". It matches the Rfam family "Bacterial small subunit ribosomal RNA", at positions 338 to 795 of the family's 1533-position model. The record is from RNAcentral.